This 2073-nucleotide ribosomal RNA is filed under the name human gut metagenome. RNAcentral's name for it is "bacterial LSU rRNA". It matches the Rfam family "Bacterial large subunit ribosomal RNA", at positions 154 to 2249 of the family's 2925-position model. The record is from RNAcentral.
UUAAGUGAAUACAUAGCUUAAUGAGGGGAACUCAGGGAACUGAAACAUCUAAGUACCUGAAGGAAGAGAAAGAAAUUCGAUUCCGUAAGUAGCGGCGAGCGAACGCGGAUUAGCCCAAACCAAUAAAGUUUUCUUUAUUGGGGUUGCGGACAUAUCAUAACGAAGAGGUAUCGUAAUUGAAGAGGUUUGGAAAGACCCACCACAGAAGGUAAUAGUCCUGUAUGUUAAACGAGAAGACUUUAGAUAUGAUCCAGAGUACCACGGGACACGUGAAACCCUGUGGGAAGCAGGAGGGACCACCCUCCAAGGCUAAAUACUACCUAGUGACCGAUAGCGUAUAGUACCGUGAGGGAAAGGUGAAAAGAACCCCGGGAGGGGAGUGAAAUAGAACCUGAAACCCUGCACUUACAAGCUGUGGAAGCACAUUUCUUGUGUGACCGCGUACUUUUUGUAGAACGGGCCAACGAGUUACGUUAAGUAGCAAGGUUAAGCACUUAAGGUGCGGAGCCGUAGCGAAAGCGAGUUUUAACUGAGCGUUCAGUUACUUGACGUAGACCCGAAACCGGGCGACCUACCCAUGAGCAGGAUGAAGCGAAAGUAAAAUUUCGUGGAGGUCCGAACCCACGAGCGUUGAAAAGCUCGGGGAUGACUUGUGGGUAGCGGUGAAAUUCCAAUCGAGCCCGGAGAUAGCUGGUUCUCCCCGAAAUAGCUUUAGGGCUAGCCUCAAGGUGAGAGAUACGGAGGUAGAGCACUGAAUGUCCUAGGGGGUAUUGCACCUACCGAAGACUAUCAAACUCCGAAUGCCGUCAUCUUAUACUUGGGAGUCAGACUGUGGGUGAUAAGAUUCAUAGUCGAAAGGGCAACAGCCCAGAUCGUCAGCUAAGGUCCCUAAAUGUAAGUUAAGUGGUAAAGGAUGUGGGAUUGCACAGACAACCAGGAUGUUGGCUUAGAAGCAGCCACUCAUUCAAAGAGUGCGUAAUAGCUCACUGGUCGAGUGAUCCUGCGCCGAAGAUUUCCGGGGCUAAAACUUACUACCGAAGCUACGGCAUCAGUAAUGAUGGGUAGGGGAGCUUCCCAUACGGGUUGAAGCAUGACCGUAAGGACAUGUGGACAGUAUGGGAGUGAGAAUGUUGGCAUGAGUAGCGAGAUGUGGGUGAGAAUCCCACAGGCCGUAAACCCAAGGUUUCCAGGGGAAGGUUCGUCCGCCCUGGGUUAGUCGGGACCUAAGCUGAGGCCGAAAGGCGUAGGUGAUGGACAACAGGUUGAUAUUCCUGUACUACCGAUAACCGUUUGAGAGAAGGGAUGACACAGUAGGAUAAGCUAAGCACACUGUUGGUUAUGUGUGCCCAAGCAUUGAGGCAGUCAAAGUAGGCAAAUCCGCUUUGAUAAUGCUGGGAUGUGAUGGGGAGCGAAAUUUAGUAGCGAAGUAGCUGAUUUCACACUGUCAAGAAAAGUCUCUAUCGAGGUUAAAGGUACCCGUACCGCAAACCGACACAGGUGGGUGAGGAGAGUAUCCUAAGGCCAGCGAGAGAACUGUUGUUAAGGAACUCGGCAAAAUGACCCCGUAACUUAGGGAUAAGGGGUGCCACCAUCAGGUGGCCGCAGAGAAUAGGCCCAAGCGACUGUUUACCAAAAACAUAGGUUUCUGCUAAGUCGCAAGACGAUGUAUAGGAGCUGACGCCUGCCCGGUGCUGGAAGGUUAAGGGGAUCUGUUAGAGCAAUCGAAGCAGUGAACUUAAGCCCCAGUAAACGGCGGCCGUAACUAUAACGGUCCUAAGGUAGCGAAAUUCCUUGUCGGGUAAGUUCCGACCCGCACGAAAGGCGUAACGAUUUGGGCACUGUCUCAACAACAGACUCGGUGAAAUUGUAAUUCCGGUGAAGAUGCCGGAUACCUGCGACAGGACGGAAAGACCCCAUGGAGCUUUACUGUAGCUUGACAUUGAGUCUCGGUGCUACAUGUACAGGAUAGGUGGGAGACUAUGAAGCAUGGACGUCAGUCUGUGUGGAGUCAUCCUUGGGAUACCACCCUUGUAGUACUGGGAUUCUAACCAGAGGCCAUGAAUCUGGUCUUGG